This 244-nucleotide ribosomal RNA is filed under the name uncultured bacterium. RNAcentral describes it as "partial 16S ribosomal RNA". It matches the Rfam family "Bacterial small subunit ribosomal RNA", at positions 553 to 793 of the family's 1533-position model. The record is from RNAcentral.
ACUGGGCGUAAAGCGCAUGCAGGUUGGUUUUGUUUAAGUCAGAUGUGAAAGCCCGGGGCUCAACCUCGGAAUUUGCAUUUGAAACUGGCAAACUAGAGUACUGUAGAGGGGGUAGAAUUUCAGGUGUAGCGGUGAAAUGCGUAGAGAUCUGAAGGAAUACCGGUGGCGAAGGCGGCCCCCUGGACAGAUACUGACACUCAGAUGCGAAAGCGUGGGGAGCAAACAGGAUUAGAUACCCUGGUAG